CGCUGCUAUACAUGCAAGUCGAGCGCAGGAAGCAAGUUGAUUCCCUUCGGGGAUGAAACUUGUGGAAUGAGCGGCGGACGGGUGAGUAACACGUGGGCAACCUACCUGUAAGAUCGGAAUAACCCCGGGAAACCGGGGCUAAUGCCGGGUAACACUUUCUCUCGCAUGAGGGGAAGUUAAAAGAUGGCUUCUUGCUAUCACUUACAGAUGGGCCCGCGGCGCAUUAGCUAGUUGGUGAGGUAAUAGCUCACCAAGGCGACGAUGCGUAGCCGACCUGAGAGGGUGAUCGGCCACACUGGGACUGAGACACGGCCCAGACUCCUACGGGAGGCAGCAGUAGGGAAUCUUCCGCAAUGGACGAAAGUCUGACGGAGCAACGCCGCGUGAACGAUGAAGGUCUUCGGAUCGUAAAGUUCUGUUGUUAGGGAAGAACAAGUACCGUGCGAAUAGAACGGUACCUUGACGGUACUUAACGAGGAAGCCCCGGCUAACUACGUGCCAGCAGCCGCGGUAAUACGUAGGGGGCAAGCGUUGUCCGGAAUUAUUGGGCGUAAAGCGCGCGCAGGCGGUUCUUUAAGUCUGAUGUGAAAUCCCACGGCUCAACCGUGGAGGUGCAUUGGAAACUGGGGAACUUGAGGACAGAAGAGGAGAGUGGAAUUCCACGUGUAGCGGUGAAAUGCGUAGAUAUGUGGAGGAACACCAGUGGCGAAGGCGACUCUCUGGUCUGUCUCUGACGCUGAGGUGCGAAAGCGUGGGUAGCAAACAGGAUUAGAUACCCUGGUAGUCCACGCUGUAACGAUGAGUGCUAGGUGUUAGGGGCUUCCACCCCUUAGUGCUGAAGUUAACGCAUUAAGCACUCCGCCUGGGGGAGUACGGCCGCAGGCUGAACUCAAGGAGUGACGGGGCCCGCACAGCGUGAGCAUGUGUUUAUCGAGCACGCGAGA
RNAcentral lists this ribosomal RNA (944 nucleotides) under Halobacillus seohaensis. RNAcentral describes it as "bacterial SSU rRNA". It matches the Rfam family "Bacterial small subunit ribosomal RNA", at positions 43 to 966 of the family's 1533-position model. Lineage: Bacteria; Bacillati; Bacillota; Bacilli; Caryophanales; Bacillaceae. The record is from RNAcentral.